UUUUGCUGUGACUCACUCAACCUGGGUGUGAUGUUUUUAUAAAUAUGGUAUCCAUCACAACCUCCUUGAGUGAGCGAUGGCGAAA
Megaselia scalaris is the source of this 85-nucleotide non-coding RNA. The record is from Rfam. NCBI's taxonomy places the organism in Eukaryota, Metazoa, Arthropoda, Insecta, Diptera, Phoridae.